GAUGAAGAACGUAGCGAAAUGCGAUAAGUAAUGCGAAUUGCAGAAUUCAGUGAGUCAUCGAAUCUUUGAACGCACCUUGCGCCCCUUGGUUAUUCCAAAGGGCAUGCCUGUUUGAGUAUCAUGAACACCUCAACUCUUGUGGUUUCCCACAAUGAGCUUGGACUGUGGAGGUUUUGUUGGCCCUGUGGUCAGCUCCUCUCAAAUGGAUCAGCUUACCGGUGUUUGGUGGCAUUACGGGUGUGAUAACUAUCUACGCUCGUGGUCGUCUCCAAAUAACCUCCAGUGAUGGAGGUUCGCUGGAGCUUAUAAAUGUCUCUCCCCAGUGAAGACAGCCUUUGAACGUUCGAUCUCAAAUCAGGUAGGACUACCCGCUGAACUUAAGCAUAUCAAUAAGCGGAGGA
RNAcentral lists this unclassified non-coding RNA (401 nucleotides) under soil metagenome. RNAcentral describes it as "partial contains 5.8S ribosomal RNA, internal transcribed spacer 2, and large subunit ribosomal RNA". The stretch from base 1 to 121 matches the Rfam family "5.8S ribosomal RNA", at positions 35 to 154 of the family's 154-position model. The record is from RNAcentral.